UGUCAGGCGGGUGGCGAUUUGUCUCCGGAUUGCAGGCCACGUUAAACAAUCUGCUAAAAAGGUGGCGGGUUUUGCAGA
Molecule: non-coding RNA, 78 nt
Filed under: Yoonia vestfoldensis
Lineage: Bacteria; Pseudomonadati; Pseudomonadota; Alphaproteobacteria; Rhodobacterales; Paracoccaceae
Source: RNAcentral